AGAAAAAAAAAAGUCAAAUUUUGUGUUUAAUACAUUUAAGAAAAGGUUUAAGUGCAAAAAAGGACCUUUAUUUAUUUGGCAGAAACCCUUUGUAUCCUUGUUAAAAAUUAAAACUUUGUAGCCCUAACUGAUAGCAGAAAUAAACUUGUUAAUAUCACUCAGGUGAUGUCUAAAACUGAAAAUGAAAUACUGAUCUACGGCAGUGGAUUUGAUGUUUGGUCUGAAGGUGUGGGGUCCUAUCCCUUCGUUCUUGUCUGAUGUGUUGUCUCACGAUCUUUUGGUUUAAUAUUAUGCUUUAUUUUCAUAAAAAAAUAGUUAAAUUUUAAGUGUUGGAUAAGACAAGUACUGAAAACUUUAAAUUGUAAAGUUGUUUGGCAUGUGUUGAAAAUAAAGUAGUAAAUCUA
RNAcentral lists this unclassified non-coding RNA (404 nucleotides) under Hevea brasiliensis (rubber tree). Lineage: Eukaryota; Viridiplantae; Streptophyta; Magnoliopsida; Malpighiales; Euphorbiaceae. The record is from RNAcentral.